RNAcentral lists this ribosomal RNA (382 nucleotides) under uncultured bacterium. Its description in RNAcentral is "bacterial SSU rRNA". It matches the Rfam family "Bacterial small subunit ribosomal RNA", at positions 28 to 412 of the family's 1533-position model. The record is from RNAcentral.
GACGAACGCUGGCGGCGUGCUUAACACAUGCAAGUCGAACGGAAAGCGCUCUUCAGAGUGACUCGAGUGGCGAACGGGUGAGUAACACGUGGGUGAUCUGCCCCGCACUUUGGGAUAAGCCUGGGAAACUGGGUCUAAUACCGGAUAGGACUACGGCCUGCAUGGGUUGUGGUGGAAAGCUUUUGCGGUGUGGGAUGGGCCCGCGGCCUAUCAGCUUGUUGGUGGGGUGAUGGCCUACCAAGGCGACGACGGGUAGCCGGCCUGAGAGGGUGUCCGGCCACACUGGGACUGAGAUACGGCCCAGACUCCUACGGGAGGCAGCAGUGGGGAAUAUUGCACAAUGGGCGCAAGCCUGAUGCAGCGACGCCGCGUGAGGGAUGAC